Small RNA from Firmicutes bacterium CAG:194, 169 nucleotides. It matches the Rfam family "Clostridiales-1 RNA". The record is from Rfam. Lineage: Bacteria; Bacillati; Bacillota.
UGAUGUCAGGGUCAAAAGGUCUAACCCCACAUGAGCUUGCUCAUAGGUGGGCGAAAGACCUUGGGACCCGCCCCGAUAUGAGCAUAAAAGUGGAGCGUAUGCUACACGAUAUGCGAAUAUUGGGUAGGAUUGUGGGAGUGCAAAGCACGGAACAAUCCGUAUGACAUCU